Long non-coding RNA from Brassica napus (rape), 885 nucleotides. RefSeq lists it as uncharacterized. The transcript has 2 exons. The record is from RefSeq and is a predicted model, not a curated record. Lineage: Eukaryota; Viridiplantae; Streptophyta; Magnoliopsida; Brassicales; Brassicaceae.
AGUGGCCUUCUGGCAAGGACACGUGUCCGCUUCCAGAUCUCAUAGUAAUCGUAUAAGCUUUAAGGUUUUUUGAUUAGUCGUUAUUUAUUGAAAUCAUUUUUGAGGGAAGUAGCUUUCUUACAGUGGCCUUCCGCCAUUUCUUACAGUCGUUAUUUAUUAAAAAAAUGAAAUCACGCACAGAUUUGGCAAUAUCACGUUAGUUUAACCAACCGAAAUCCAUUUGAAUGGGCCAAGGAAUACACUAAUGCAAUAGCCCAAUAAAUCAAAAAAAAAAUAACAAAGUUAACAAAAUUUUCUCAAAAUUUUUGACUAACGUGUUUCUCUUUUUUUUUUUUUUUGUCUUGGACUCUUGCACUUUUUAUUUUCUUAAGCUUCUUCCUUUCCUGUCUUAACCUGUCUUAACCUGCAAACCAAAAACACAAUUUCAUUAUUAUUUUGUCAAUUGCUUGUGUCUGCUUAUAUCAGAAGCAAAAUCUCGCCAUAAGCCAUGAAAGCUCUGUGUUUGUUUCUUCAACACUGACUCCAGCGGUAGCGUCAGAAAAUUAAACCUUUAACGACAGCAACCUACAGCACCGGUGAAGCACGAUGAACUGACUUUCCAGUCGCUGCGGCAACUAAUAGCGAACGAAAUGAACGCCGAAUAAAUCAGCGUUUAAUUCCGUGCGUCUCCGGCAACGUAUCAGCGACUGAUUUAGGUUUUCUGCGUCUCCGGAAUUAUUAUUUUGUCUCCAUCACAGGUCAUUUUUUUGUGGCUGCCGUUGAAAGUAGCGUCUAUGAAACGAACAGAGCUUAUAUAAUCCCCAGUUUUCAUUUUGUUUCAAGCCCUCAAAUUCUCAGGACCCUGAGUGUAUCUAAUCAUUAUAAUAUUUGAUCCAGAUUUAAAAU